AACGAACGCUGGCGGCAUGCUUAAUACAUGCAAGUCGAACGAGAGGAAGGAAAGCUUGCUUUUCUGAAUCUAGUGGCGAACGGGUGAGUAACACGUAGGUAACCUGCCCAUGUGCCCGGGAUAACUUCUGGAAACGGAUGCUAAAACCGGAUAGGUAGCAGACAAGCAUUUGACUGCUAUUAAAGUGGCUAAGGCCAUGAACAUGGAUGGACCUGCGGUGCAUUAGCUAGUUGGUGAGGUAACGGCCCACCAAGGCGACGAUGCAUAGCCGGCCUGAGAGGGCGGACGGCCACAUUGGGACUGAGACACGGCCCAAACUCCUACGGGAGGCAGCAGUAGGGAAUUUUCGUCAAUGGGGGGAACCCUGAACGAGCAAUGCCGCGUGAGUGAGGAAGGUCUUCGGAUCGUAAAGCUCUGUUGUAAGAGAAAAACGACAUUCAUAGGGAAUGAUGAGUGAGUGAUGGUAUCUUACCAGAAAGUCACGGCUAACUACGUGCCAGCAGCCGCCGUAA
RNAcentral lists this ribosomal RNA (512 nucleotides) under uncultured bacterium. Its description in RNAcentral is "partial 16S ribosomal RNA". It matches the Rfam family "Bacterial small subunit ribosomal RNA", at positions 29 to 523 of the family's 1533-position model. The record is from RNAcentral.